RNAcentral lists this long non-coding RNA (926 nucleotides) under Lytechinus variegatus (green sea urchin). RNAcentral describes it as "uncharacterized LOC121414364". Lineage: Eukaryota; Metazoa; Echinodermata; Echinoidea; Temnopleuroida; Toxopneustidae. The record is from RNAcentral.
UUUGGACACGUCAAACUUUCUUAAUGAUGUGUAAUUGAUUCUAUGACAUGUGUUUACAUUUGCUGCAGAUUCCCAUUCAGCCAUUGGACUGAACCGGUACCAAGACCGGAACUGUAACACAGUAAGGAUGGUCAAUAUGAAGCGAGCUUCAUUGAAUUCCUCCAAGAGCUCUGUACUCUGUUCUGAUCAUUUUGAAGAUGCUUGCUUUGACCUGGGCAGACGAUACGUCUUAAACAGGAUGCUGUCCCAACCAUAUUUGAUUUCCCGCCUUGUCUUCAGAAGAAUUCACCCAAGCCAAGGUAUUUCCCAAAAGACUUUUCGAUUCAGCAAACAACCUCCCAGAUACUGCAAAGACACCAGUGCCAAAGUCUUCAGCACCUUAAUUUCUCGAAGACCACUCCUACUGAAUACCAGAAAGUCCAAGAGGGGUAAAGUGGAAGUCAACAACAAUAAUGGACUGUAUUAAAACUUGGAGAAGAGGCUGAAAACCACACAGAAGUCCUACCUUAUACAUUACUUGCUUUUAAGUUUGGACAAACAUUGAUUUGCACAACUUUACAACAAAAAAUUUACGCUGUGUGGAUUCUGAUUAUUUAAAAUAGCUCAAUGAAAACGUUUAUCACUGGGCAUGUAACAAAAAUGAAUUCAUUGAAUUUGAAGAUGUCUUACAGUAUAUUCAUUCUGAUUUGAAUGUCAGAAGAGAAAAAAGUUUGUGAAAAGUAGGAAUGACGGCAAGCUGACAGAAGAAUAGAAUACAUGUAGGAUAGAACAAGGCCACAGUUAUAAAUGAGCUGUUGGAUAGAGACAAAAAGAUGAAUUAAGAAUGGGGGUGAUAGAGAAAUAGAGACAGGAAUUGGGGAGCCUGUGAUGAAUGCCUGAGAAAGUAAAAAUUACCAUAUUUUAUUUUUUUAAGGAUUUGAACAGUC